GACGAACGCUGGCGGCGUGCUUAACACAUGCAGGUCGAACGAGAUCCAAUGUGUAGCAAUACACAGGAAGAUCUAGUGGCGAACGGGUGAGGAACACGUGAGAAACGUACCCCAGACUUUGGGAUAACAGUCCGAAAGGACUGCUAAUACCAAAUAACGUCGGAAGUCCGCAUGGACAUCUGACGAAAGGGAUUCCGGUUUGGGAGCGUCUCGCGGACCUAUCAGCUAGUUGGAGGGGUAACGGCCCACCAAGGCAACGACGGGUAGCUGGUCUGAGAGGAUGGUCAGCCACACUGGGACUGAGACACGGCCCAGACUCCUACGGGAGGCAGCAGUGGGGAAUCUUGCGCAAUGGGCGAAAGCCUGACGCAGCAACGCCGCGUGCGGGAAGAAGGCUUUCGGGCUGUAAACCGCUUUCAGUAGGAACGAAACUGACGGUACCUACAGAAGAAGGAGCGGCCAACUAUGUG
RNAcentral lists this ribosomal RNA (470 nucleotides) under uncultured bacterium. Its description in RNAcentral is "partial 16S ribosomal RNA". It matches the Rfam family "Bacterial small subunit ribosomal RNA", at positions 28 to 507 of the family's 1533-position model. The record is from RNAcentral.